This is a long non-coding RNA of Danaus plexippus (monarch butterfly), 769 nucleotides long. RefSeq lists it as uncharacterized. Lineage: Eukaryota; Metazoa; Arthropoda; Insecta; Lepidoptera; Nymphalidae. The transcript has 4 exons. The record is from RefSeq and is a predicted model, not a curated record.
CACCGGGUAAUGCACGGCUCUCAAUUAAACUCUAAUUUGUUAAUAAUUAAUAUAUAAUGUUUAUUGGGCAUACUAAAAUCUGCUCUAGACAUGCAAUAUAGACAAUUAUAGGGGAGCGAUAGACUAGCCACAUCUCAAAUUCUGAACGUACUCCGCUCACAUGGACUGCAUCGUAAUAUUGACCCGCGUUACACGCACUGGAAUUCGUCCUCAUUUACCGCCCACUUGGAAUUAUUGAGGCGAGAAAUGGACGAUGUCUCUAACUUGAAAAUAUCAAAGUUAGAAGAGUCAAAAGACGGGUUGCCGAAACCAGAAACGAUUGAAGAUUUUGAAAGAACGAGCAAUUGGAGUCCUGAAAUAAUUAAUUUAUAAAAGAAAAAUUUUGCUUCCUUCGAAUAUUUUUGAUUACUUUUAAGAACUUGAUGAAAUACACACAGAGAUGGAAUUCAUAACGAAUUUCCUUAUUAUAAGAGCUUUUAUUUAGUUUCCAAAGCAAAAUACACUUUUCAACAUACUAUGCAGAUAACCGGCUAUUGAAAUAAACAUUCAGUUCGCGAGCAUACAUUGUAGUUCAAACAAGCGACAUAUGGCAGAGCUCACAAAAGCAAUUUUGAUUAAUUCAUUGUUAGAUUUAUGAAGUUAAUAAAUCAAUACAAAUUCAAACAACUCCAGUGACCACCGUUUGCAGUUGUCAAUUAUAUUUCAUACUCAAUGUCAAGCGAAAACCCUUCGUACAUAUUAAUUGUACUGUUCAAAACUAUUGUUAAAU